Molecule: long non-coding RNA, 761 nt
Filed under: Phasianus colchicus (ring-necked pheasant)
Lineage: Eukaryota; Metazoa; Chordata; Aves; Galliformes; Phasianidae
Description: lncRNA (ENSPCLG00000017543.1)
Source: RNAcentral
GCUCAGCCCUUCCCAGGCUCUCAGGCAGUCUCCUGGACGGUGUGUCACCAGUGACUCCUUUUCAGGGUGUCAGGGACAACGUGAGGAUGGCUGCCAGCAACGUCCUGGUGGCUCUGGCCCGGAUGCAUUUCAGCUUGGUGAUGGCUGAGCUCCAGGGCCAGCUGAAGGCCAUCGGGGAGAGACCCAAGGAUUUUGUGCUCAUCACCCUCAGCAAACUGUUCGGCAUCUACGGUAGAGUGCUCUCAGCCACCCUACACCUAUGACAACUGGGGAAAGGGGUCUUUCCUCUCUGCGCGUGAUCUGCAUCCUGGGGGAUGCCGGGCUUCCCCCCCGCCUCUGUUGCUGCCAGGGCUCUGACUGUGGACCUCUCCUUCUCCUCUGCAGCUCCACAGUGCAUCCCCUUCAUGUGGCUGAUGCUGGCUGGCCUGCGCAGUGUGGUGGGCCAGGUGAGGAGCGGCCGGACCCUGCGCCUCGCUUGUGCUGUUGUGAAACAAUGGUCAGAAGGAGUCUGGGUUCACUUCUGCUCUGGAAAGCAAUGCCCCCGGCCUGCCGUGCAGAAAGAACAAAUCUACGAGAAUCUGCACCUGCUCUUCUUCUCCGUGCUGACAAACUGGCAGGACUGCAAGGAGGAAGAGGACAAGCAGGCCGUCUUUGGGGCUGUGACUGCCAUGAUGGCUGUCCUCCUGCAAGAGGAGCUGCACCGAGAGCACGUCUGGGAGCAGCUCCUCUGGCUCGUGCGCCCGUGUCAGGAGGUCCAAGAC